AGCGAACCAGUACCGUGAGGGAAAGGUGAAAAGCACCCCGAGAGGGGAGUGAAACAGUACCUGAAACCGUGUGCCUACAAGCAGUCGGAGCAGCCAUGCGCUGUGACGGCGUGCCUUUUGUAGAAUGAGCCAGCGAGUCGCUGGCGCGGGGCGAGGUUAACCGAAAGGGAGCCGGAGCGAAAGCGAGCCUUAACAGGGCGACUUGAGUCCCGCGCCGCGGACGCGAAGCCGGGUGAGCUAUCCGUGGGCAGGCUGAAGCGGGGGUAAGACCCCGUGGAGGGCCGAACGCACGUCGGUUGAAAACGGCGGCGAUGACCUGCGGAUAGGGGUGAAAGGCCAAUCAAACCCGGAGAUAUCUCGUUCUCCCCGAAAUAGCUUUAGGGCUAGCGUCGCGCGUUCACCGCCGGAGGUAGAGCACCGGAUGGACGAGGGGGCUUCGCCGCCUACCGAAUCCAACCGAACUCCGAAUGCCGGCGGCCCAGAGCGCGGCAGUCAGAGCAUGUGGGCUAAGCUGUGUGCUCGAGAGGGAAACAGCCCGGACCGCCCGCUAAGGUCCCCAAGUUCCAGCCGAGUGGCAAAGGAUGUGCGUCCGCCCAGACAACCAGGAUGUUGGCUUAGAAGCAGCCAUCCAUUCAAAGAGUGCGUAACAGCUCACUGGUCGAGUGGACAUGCGCCGACAAUACACGGGGCUAAGCUGGACACCGAAGCGGCGGGAUUUUAAUUCAUUAGAAUCGGUAGGGGAGCUUCCCAUGGGCGGAGAAGCCGGAGGGCGACCGACGGUGGAGCGCAUGGGAGUGAGAAUGCUGGCAUGAGUAGCGAGAGACGAGAGAGUAACUCGUCCGCCGUGAACCCGAGGUUUCCUGGGCAAGGCUAAUCCUCCCAGGGUCAGUCGGGGGCUAAGGCGAGGCCGGUAGGCGUAGCCGACGCGCAGCAGGCAGACAUUCCUGCACCGCGCACGCGGCGCUACGACCGACGGGGCGACGGAUGGGGGUGGCUCGGCGGGGUUCUGGACGUCCCCGUGAUGGAGCGCGGCCCGCGGACCAGGGAAAUCCGGUCCGCAGGAGGGCGAGGCUCCGGACGAAGCACUUAAGCGAAGCGAGUGAGCCCGAGGUCCCUAGAAAAACCCCUAGGCAGGCGCGUGCGCGCCCGUACCGCAAACCGACACAGGUGGGUGGGUAGAACAUACCGAGGCGAUCGGGUCAACCAUGGUCAAGGAACUCGGCACAAUGGCCCCGUAACUUCGGGAGAAGGGGUGCCCGCGCGUACGUGAACCGGCUCGCCCGGGGAGCGGAGGCGGGCCGCAGUGGAGAGGCCCAAGCGACUGUUUACCAAAAACACAGGACUCUGCAGAAGCCGCAAGGCGACGUAUAGGGUCUGACGCCUGCCCGGUGCCGGAAGGUCACGCGGAGGAGUUAGCCGAUUCGGCGAAGCCCCGAAGCCAAGCCCCGGUAAACGGCGGCCGUAACUAUAACGGUCCUAAGGUAGCGAAAUUCCUUGUCGGGU
This 1503-nucleotide ribosomal RNA is filed under the name human gut metagenome. Its description in RNAcentral is "bacterial LSU rRNA". It matches the Rfam family "Bacterial large subunit ribosomal RNA", at positions 489 to 1977 of the family's 2925-position model. The record is from RNAcentral.